AACAUGGAACGGUCCUGGUUCCUGCUCUUCCUGGCGGUGGUUCCCAGAGGUGUCCUGUCCCAGGUGCAGCUGCAGGAGACUGGGCCUGGCCUGCUGAGGCCCUCGCAGACCCUGUCCCUCACCUGCUCAGUCUCUGGCUACUCCAUCAGCAGUGGGCACUCCUGGACCUGGAUCCGCCAGUCUCAAGGGAAGGGGCUGCAGUGGGUGGGGCAGAUUGACAGUGCUGGAGGCACAGUUUAUGAGCCGUCCCUGAAGAGCCGAGUCAGCAUCUCCAGAGACACGCCCAAGAACCAGUUCUCCCUGCAGCUUAACUCUGUGACAGCUGAGGACAUGGCCGUGUAUUACUGUGCAAGAGACACAGUGGGAGAGCUUCAGUGUGAGCCGAGACACAAACCUCUAUGCAGGGACGUCCAGGACCAGCAGGGGGCGCUGAGGAUUCCCUUAGUGCAAGAAGGGUCCCAGAAGCAGGUGCAGGGAAGGAAGCUGGGGAGUGUGUGCUUCCUGUCACUCUGGGUGACCUAUCUGUGUGACAUCAUAUGA
Molecule: non-coding RNA, 540 nt
Organism: Octodon degus (degu)
Lineage: Eukaryota; Metazoa; Chordata; Mammalia; Rodentia; Octodontidae
Source: the annotation of a RefSeq genome assembly